This 460-nucleotide ribosomal RNA is filed under the name uncultured bacterium. Its description in RNAcentral is "partial 16S ribosomal RNA". It matches the Rfam family "Bacterial small subunit ribosomal RNA", at positions 338 to 795 of the family's 1533-position model. The record is from RNAcentral.
CCUACGGUGGGCAGCAGUGAGGAAUCUUGGUCAAUGGACGAGAGUCUGAACCAGCCAAGUAGCGUGAAGGAUGACUGCCCUAUGGGUUGUAAACUUCUUUUAUAUGGGAAUAACAUGUUCCACGUGUGGGAUUUUGUAUGUACCAUAUGAAUACGGAUCGGCUAACUCCGUGCCAGCCGCCGCGGUACUCCGGAGGAUCCGAGCGUUAUCCGGAUUUAUUGGGUUUAAAGGGAGCGUAGGUGGAUUGUUAAGUCAGUUGUGAAAGUUUGCGGCUCAAACGUAAAAUUGCAGUUGAAACUGGCAGUCGUGAGUACAGUAGAGGUGGGCGGAAUUCGUGGUGUAGCGGUGAAAUGCUGAGAUAUCACGAAGAACUCCGAUUGCGAAGGCAGUUCACUGGACUGCAACUGACACUGAGGCUCGAAAGUGUGGGUAUCAAACAGGAUUAGAUACCCUGGUAGUC